GACGAACGCUGGCGGCGUGCUUAACACAUGCAAGUCGAACGGAAAGGCCCUGCUUUUGUGGGGUGCUCGAGUGGCGAACGGGUGAGUAACACGUGAGUAACCUGCCCUUGACUUUGGGAUAACUUCAGGAAACUGGGGCUAAUACCGGAUAGGAGCUCCUGCUGCAUGGUGGGGGUUGGAAAGUUUCGGCGGUUGGGGAUGGACUCGCGGCUUAUCAGCUUUUUGGUGGGGUAGUGGCUUACCAAGGCUUUGACGGGUAGCCGGCCUGAGAGGGUGACCGGCCACAUUGGGACUGAGAUACGGCCCAGACUCAUACGGGAGGCAGCAGUGGGGAAUAUUGCACAAUGGGCGGAAGCCUGAUGCAGCAACGCCGCGUGCGGGAUGACGGCCUUCGGGUUGUAAACCGCUUUCGCCUGUGACGAAGCGUGAGUGACGGUAAUGGGUAAAGAAGCACCGGCUAACUACGUG
RNAcentral lists this ribosomal RNA (468 nucleotides) under uncultured bacterium. Its description in RNAcentral is "partial 16S ribosomal RNA". It matches the Rfam family "Bacterial small subunit ribosomal RNA", at positions 28 to 507 of the family's 1533-position model. The record is from RNAcentral.